This 516-nucleotide ribosomal RNA is filed under the name Torbenella aff. calvata 1 AM-2022b. RNAcentral describes it as "partial large subunit ribosomal RNA". It matches the Rfam family "Bacterial large subunit ribosomal RNA", at positions 1819 to 2589 of the family's 2925-position model. Lineage: Eukaryota; Metazoa; Arthropoda; Malacostraca; Decapoda; Munididae. The record is from RNAcentral.
GUCUGUGUGAAGGUACACAGAGUCUGACCUGCCCAUUGAAAUAAUUAAAAGGCCGCGGUAUAUUAACUGUGCAAAGGUAGCAUAAUCAUUAGCUUUUUAAUUGAAGGCUUGUAUGAAGGGUUUGACAAAGAAAAGACUGUCUCUAUUUUUAUCUUUGAAGUUAACUUUUAAGUGAAAAGGCUUAAAUAAAUUAAAGGGACGAUAAGACCCUAUAAAUCUUUAUACUAUGAAUAUUUUCUUGUUUAUUAAUAUUGAAAAUAGUUUAAUGUUAACGGGUAAAAUAGUAUGUAUUUUGUUGGGGUGAUGAGAAUAUAAAAUUAACUGUUCUGAGGGAAAACAAAAUUAUUUGAAAAAAUUGGUAGAUCCUUUGUAGAGAUUAAAAGUUUAAGUUACUUUAGGGAUAACAGCGUUAUUUUUUUUGAGAGUUCUUAUCGAAAAAAAAGUUUGCGACCUCGAUGUUGAAUUAAGAGAUCUCUGUGGUGUAGAAGUUAUAGAGAGAAAGUCUGUUCGACUUUU